This 76-nucleotide transfer RNA is filed under the name Ovis aries (sheep). It matches the Rfam family "tRNA". Rfam says of the family: Transfer RNA (tRNA) molecules are approximately 80 nucleotides in length. Their secondary structure includes four short double-helical elements and three loops (D, anti-codon, and T loops). The record is from Rfam by way of RNAcentral. Lineage: Eukaryota; Metazoa; Chordata; Mammalia; Artiodactyla; Bovidae.
UCCCUGGUGGCUUAGAGGUUAAAUAAAGCAUCUGCCUAGAAUGCGGGAGACCUGGGUUCGAUCCCUGGGUUGGGAA